CUUGAAACCGACAUUUCCAAGCAAGUGCCCGUGGACGCUUCCAAGAUGGUGAUCUGGUUAUUUCCAGGUAAAUGUCUCCAACACUUCAAACUCAGUAAGUCCAGUUCCAAGCUCAUUAUUCCUCCCUUCCAUCCUGCUACUCUGCCUCCCAGACUACGUUGGUCAGCAUCACCCUAUAGAUCUUGUCACCCACAUGCCACACCUUGGGUCGUCUUUGACCAAGGUGUCUGCGUGUCCAGAUUUGCCCAGGAUUGUUCAGUGUGUGUCUACUGUCUUGGUAAAAUGACCGAUAGUACUCUUUUCAUCCUCAAAACCAUUCUGGAUUGGACAAUAAAUUAUAUGGUCACGCUAUUCCUCCUCAUCUCUGAUUCCUGUUCAACCCAUCAGUAAGUCCCACCAACAUCGUUAGCCUUCGGUGGUGACAGGCUCUUAAACUAGCCUCCCUGCUCUGUAUUUCUCCUCUGUUCAACUCAUCCUUAGACCUCACCACCAGUCUUGUCUAUUUAGGCCACGACUUUUAUCUUAUUACUCUCCUGCUUCCCAUUGCCUACAACACGGAGUCCACUCUAGACCCGUCUUAUGCCAUAGCUGUCCAGAGAACAUACACCCAUCCGACAGGUCAGGAAUCUGUAUCGUGUUAUCUGGAGAAGGGCUAGUAAUCAGGCACUGGAAAAAUUGUUCCAUGCCCCCUAGAUCUGCAUGAGAUGGCCUGGCAAGAGGAAGACAAAUUAAUAAUUGAUGAAGAGAAAAGAUUUCAUGUGGUCUGAAUGAAUCCUGGAAAGUGGCUUGGUGUCUCUCUGAAUUCAGAUCUGGGGGUGUCCAUAGAGAGAGGUCUCCUUGGGCAACAACCCCCCCAGCUCACGUUUUCUCCCCACCGCUCACCUGCUUUUUCCCCUGGUUUCACAAAAUUCCAGCCAGUUUUCCUCCAUUUCUUGUUCCAGGGCUGGAGUCCUCAGGGACCUCUUUUCAUGUUUGGCCAUUUCGGGUUGGCUCUCAUCCAGCUGCUGCCUGCCUGCUGCACUCCAGGCCAACUGGGAGCAGCAUUCUACAGGAUCAAGGAUCACAGGAACACCCAAUCCUUGGCAAGAAGCAAGAAAUUACCUCCUCGUGAAGGCAGAGAGGGGACCUGA
This 1130-nucleotide long non-coding RNA is filed under the name Felis catus (domestic cat). Its description in RNAcentral is "lncRNA (ENSFCAG00000048498.1)". Lineage: Eukaryota; Metazoa; Chordata; Mammalia; Carnivora; Felidae. The record is from RNAcentral.